This 423-nucleotide ribosomal RNA is filed under the name uncultured organism. RNAcentral describes it as "bacterial SSU rRNA". It matches the Rfam family "Bacterial small subunit ribosomal RNA", at positions 355 to 775 of the family's 1533-position model. The record is from RNAcentral.
UGAGGAAUAUUGGUCAAUGGACGGAAGUCUGAACCAGCCAUGCCGCGUGCAGGAAGAAUGUCCUAUGGAUUGUAAACUGCUUUUAUACGGGAAGAAACGCUUAUUUGCGAAUAGGUUUGACGGUACCGUAAGAAUAAGGAUCGGCUAACUCCGUGCCAGCAGCCGCGGUAAUACGGAGGAUCCGAGCGUUAUCCGGAAUUAUUGGGUUUAAAGGGUUCGUAGGCGGGCUUGUAAGUCAGGGGUGAAAGUUAGCGGCUCAACCGUUAAAUUGCCUUUGAUACUGCUAGUCUUGAAUACUUGUGAAGUAACUAGAAUAUGUGGUGUAGCGGUGAAAUGCAUAGAUAUCACAUGGAAUACCAAUUGCGAAGGCAGGUUACUAACAUUUUAUUGACGCUGAUGAACGAAAGCGUGGGUAGCGAACAG